GAUGAACGCUGGCGGCGUGCCUAAUACAUGCAAGUCGAGCGAACGGACGAGAAGCUUGCUUCUCUGAUGUUAGCGGCGGACGGGUGAGUAACACGUGGAUAACCUACCUAUAAGACUGGGAUAACUUCGGGAAACCGGAGCUAAUACCGGAUAAUAUUUUGAACCGCAUGGUUCAAAAGUGAAAGACGGUCUUGCUGUCACUUAUAGAUGGAUCCGCGCUGCAUUAGCUAGUUGGUAAGGUAACGGCUUACCAAGGCAACGAUGCAUAGCCGACCUGAGAGGGUGAUCGGCCACACUGGAACUGAGACACGGUCCAGACUCCUACGGGAGGCAGCAGUAGGGAAUCUUCCGCAAUGGGCGAAAGCCUGACGGAGCAACGCCGCGUGAGUGAUGAAGGUCUUCGGAUCGUAAAACUCUGUUAUUAGGGAAGAACAUAUGUGUAAGUAACUGUGCACAUCUUGACGGUACCUAAUCAGAAAGCCACGGCUAACUACGUGCCAGCAGCCGCGGUAAUACGUAGGUGGCAAGCGUUAUCCGGAAUUAUUGGGCGUAAAGCGCGCGUAGGCGGUUUUUUAAGUCUGAUGUGAAAGCCCACGGCUCAACCGUGGAGGGUCAUUGGAAACUGGAAAACUUGAGUGCAGAAGAGGAAAGUGGAAUUCCAUGUGUAGCGGUGAAAUGCGCAGAGAUAUGGAGGAACACCAGUGGCGAAGGCGACUUUCUGGUCUGUAACUGACGCUGAUGUGCGAAAGCGUGGGGAUCAAACAGGAUUAGAUACCCUGGUAGUCCACGCCGUAAACGAUGAGUGCCAAGUGUUAGGGGGUUUCCGCCCCUUAGUGCUGCAGCUAACGCAUUAAGCACUCCGCCUGGGGAGUACGACCGCAAGGUUGAAACUCAAAGGAAUUGACGGGGACCCGCACAAGCGGUGGAGCAUGUGGUUUAAUUCGAAGCAACGCGAAGAACCUUACCAAAUCUUGACAUCCUUUGACAACUCUAGAGAUAGAGCCUUCCCCUUCGGGGGACAAAGUGACAGGUGGUGCAUGGUUGUCGUCAGCUCGUGUCGUGAGAUGUUGGGUUAAGUCCCGCAACGAGCGCAACCCUUAAGCUUAGUUGCCAUCAUUAAGUUGGGCACUCUAAGUUGACUGCCGGUGACAAACCGGAGGAAGGUGGGGAUGACGUCAAAUCAUCAUGCCCCUUAUGAUUUGGGCUACACACGUGCUACAAUGGACAAUACAAAGGGCAGCGAAACCGCGAGGUCAAGCAAAUCCCAUAAAGUUGUUCUCAGUUCGGAUUGUAGUCUGCAACUCGACUACAUGAAGCUGGAAUCGCUAGUAAUCGUAGAUCAGCAUGCUACGGUGAAUACGUUCCCGGGUCU
Molecule: ribosomal RNA, 1372 nt
Filed under: uncultured bacterium
Lineage: Bacteria
Description: bacterial SSU rRNA
Rfam family: Bacterial small subunit ribosomal RNA
Source: RNAcentral